This 53-nucleotide ribosomal RNA is filed under the name Fusarium sp. JAI-CB37. RNAcentral's name for it is "partial 28S ribosomal RNA". Lineage: Eukaryota; Fungi; Ascomycota; Sordariomycetes; Hypocreales; Nectriaceae. The record is from RNAcentral.
UUGACAUCGAAUCACGUAGGAAUACCCCCUGAAAUUAAGCAUAUCAGUAAGAG